This 468-nucleotide ribosomal RNA is filed under the name uncultured bacterium. RNAcentral describes it as "partial 16S ribosomal RNA". It matches the Rfam family "Bacterial small subunit ribosomal RNA", at positions 28 to 507 of the family's 1533-position model. The record is from RNAcentral.
GACGAACGCUGGCGGCGUGCUUAACACAUGCAAGUCGAACGGAAAUGCUCUGCUUUUGUGUGGUUCUCGUGUGGCGAACGGGUGUGUAACACGUGAGUAACCUGCCCUUGACUUCGGGAUACCUUCAGGAAACUGGUGCUAAUACCGGAUAGGAGCUCCUGCUGCAUAGUGAUGGUUGGAGAGUGUCGGCGGUUGGGGAUGGACUCGCGGGUUAUCAGCUUGUUGGUGGGGUAGCGGCUUACCAAGGCUUUGACGGGUAGCCGGCCUGAGGGGGUGAACGGCCACAAUGGGACUGAGAGAGGGACCAGAAUCGUACGGGAGGCAGCAGUGGGGAAUAUUGCACAAUGGGCGGAAGCCUGAGGCAGCAACGCCGGGUGCGGGAUGACGGCCUGCGGGUUGUAAACCGCUUUCGCCUGUGACGAAGCGUGAGUGACGGUAAUGGGUAAAGAAGCACCGGCUAACUACGUG